RNAcentral lists this long non-coding RNA (809 nucleotides) under Theobroma cacao (cacao). RNAcentral's name for it is "long non-coding RNA (TCAC_LNC004205)". The record is from RNAcentral. Lineage: Eukaryota; Viridiplantae; Streptophyta; Magnoliopsida; Malvales; Malvaceae.
ACCUGCAUUAACAUAGAAUUUUUAAUCUUUUUAAUCAACAACAGUAGAAUCUAAGGCCUUGCCUUCAAAUUGGAUCUUUCAUAUGUCUUCACAAAAGAGAAAACCCUGAGCUAUCUAUCUCUUUUUGUUAUAUCUCAUACCUAAGAUCCAUUUUUUAAGUUAUGAUGAUUUAAGUUAAAACAAAAGAUUUAGGCAUGUCAAAUUCAUUUUUGAGAUUUACAGAUUAAAAGAUGUAUGAAUGCUAAACAAUAACAAGACUAGAAAUCCGCUGCUGAUUGUUUUUCAUAUUAUCAAUAUCUGAAUUCUUGUACCAAAAGAAAUUCAUAGAAAGAUUUCAAUAUCUGAUUGUUUUUCACAUUACCAUGGCAGAGAAAAGCUGUCCUCCUAGCCAGGCACCACCUCCGGGGCUAACAGAUUGCUCAACAAUAGCAACCUGUACGGACGGGUUCUUGCUAAGCUCAUAGGCACAAGACAGCCCUGCGGAGCCCGCACCAACCACCACCACAUCAGUGUCAGCGUGGGUGAUCAUGUCCAUCAUGUACCUACGUGUCAUCUCACGUGACACGAUGGAUUCCUUGAUGGGGUCAAACCUGAAAUUGUUCAGGUCAUACGGUGGAGGUGAUGAGGCUGCAGACAUGGAAACUGAUGCAUUGCGUGGAGAGGACUUUGCCUUGAGAUGGAAAGAAAGUGGCGUUAUGGGAACCCCAUGGAAGGAAGACUCAAAGAGGGAAGUGUUUCUGUAAAGUUUGGUAGAGGAAGUGAGAGUAGUAGCUACGGAUGAUGCCAUUACUGCCUGAGAAAAAUCAAGA